RNAcentral lists this long non-coding RNA (445 nucleotides) under Pongo abelii (Sumatran orangutan). RNAcentral's name for it is "lincRNA". The record is from RNAcentral. Lineage: Eukaryota; Metazoa; Chordata; Mammalia; Primates; Hominidae.
AAAACACCUAAGUAAAACCUUUCUUUAAAGGACACAUGAACAAAUUGAACCAGUCAGAGGGGAAAGAUCAGGAUGAUGAAGUGACUCAGAAAUCAGAUUCCAUUAUGACAUUAGUCUCUGGUCACAAUUAUCAGAAGCCUUGCCAGAUGCACCAUUCCACUUCAUCCUGUCUUCAUCACGAGGAGAAAAUCAGUGGUUCCUCUGCCUUUUGCCUCCUUCCAGUGGAUUGCAUAUCCAGAUAAUGUUGAACUUGGGAGCCUUCAUGCUUUGAUCAGUAAAAUCUUGAAUGAAUGGAAGUUGACAUAAGCUAAAGGAAUCAUCUUACACCACGACAAAAUGGAGUAAGACUGGAUCCCCAAAUCUCCAAUGUAACAAGCCUGAAACACUUUUGUGUAGAAUGCUCAGACUAUUAGUUGAGAGAAAAAUAAAACUCCAUUUUGUUCAA